RNAcentral lists this ribosomal RNA (253 nucleotides) under uncultured bacterium. RNAcentral describes it as "partial 16S ribosomal RNA". It matches the Rfam family "Bacterial small subunit ribosomal RNA", at positions 524 to 776 of the family's 1533-position model. The record is from RNAcentral.
UACAGAGGGUACAAGCGUCGUUCGGAAUUAUUGGGCGUAAAGGGCGCGUAGGCGGUGCGGUAAGUCUCAUGUGAAAUCUCCGGGCUCAACUCGGAGCCUGCAUGAGAAACUGCCGUGCUUGAGUAUGGGAGAGGUGAGUGGAAUUCCUGGUGUAGUGGUGAAAUGCGUAGAUAUCAGGAGGAACACCUGUGGCGAAAGCGGCUCACUGGACCAUCACUGACGCUGAGGCGCGAAAGCUAGGGGAGCAAACAGG